Molecule: ribosomal RNA, 323 nt
Filed under: uncultured Chloroflexota bacterium
Lineage: Bacteria; Bacillati; Chloroflexota
Description: bacterial SSU rRNA
Rfam family: Bacterial small subunit ribosomal RNA
Source: RNAcentral
GAUAAACGUUUGCGGCGUGCCUGAUGCAUGCAAGUCGAACGCCCUGAUUUUUCGCAAGAUUGAUCAGGGAGUGGCGAACGGCUGAGUAACGCGUAAGUAACCUAUCCCUAAGUGGGGGAUAACUUGCCGAAAGGCAGGCUAAUACCGCAUAUUCUGGUAAGCGUUUAGCUUAUCAGCAAAGCUUUUGCGCUUGGGGAGGGGCUUGCGUCUGAUUAGAUAGUUGGUAGGGUAAUGGCCUACCAAGUCAGUGAUCAGUAGCUGGUCUGAGAGGACAACCAGCCAGACGGGGACUGAGAUACGGCCCUGACUCCUACGGGAGGCUG